GGGAAUAUUGGACAAUGGGCGAAAGCCUGAUCCAGCAAUGCCGCGUGAGUGAUGAAGGCCUUAGGGUUGUAAAGCUCUUUUACCCGGGAUGAUAAUGACAGUACCGGGAGAAUCAGCCCCGGCUACCUCCGUGCCAGCAGCCGCGGUAAUACGGAGGGGGCUAGCGUUGUUCGGAAUUACUGGGCGUAAAGCGUACGUAGGCGGCUUUGUAAGUUGGAGGUGAAAGCCCGGGGCUUAACCCCGGAAUUGCCUUUAAGACUGCAUCGCUUGAAUCAUGGAGAGGUGAGUGGAAUUCCGAGUGUAGAGGUGAAAUUCGUAGAUAUUCGGAAGAACACCAGUGGCGAAGGCGACUCACUGGACAUGUAUUGACGCUGAGGUACGAAAGCGUGGGGAGCAAAC
This 399-nucleotide ribosomal RNA is filed under the name uncultured bacterium. Its description in RNAcentral is "bacterial SSU rRNA". It matches the Rfam family "Bacterial small subunit ribosomal RNA", at positions 357 to 773 of the family's 1533-position model. The record is from RNAcentral.